Molecule: microRNA precursor, 115 nt
Filed under: Paramuricea clavata
Lineage: Eukaryota; Metazoa; Cnidaria; Anthozoa; Malacalcyonacea; Plexauridae
Source: RNAcentral
CGAUGGAUCUGAUGGAUCCGAUGGAUCCGAUGGAUCUGAUGGACCUGAUGGAUCCGAUGGAUCCAUCAGAUCCACCAGAUCCAUCGGAUCCAUCAGAUCCAUCAGAUCCAUUUUU